GAUGAACGCUAGCGGCGUGCCUAAUACAUGCAAGUCGAGCGAAUUUUUGGGAGCUUGCUCCCAAAGGUUAGCGGCGGACGGGUGAGUAACACGUGGGCAACCUGCCUAUAAGACUGGGAUAACUUCGGGAAACCGGAGCUAAUACCGGAUAAUUCAUAUCUACUCAUGUAGGUAUGCUGAAAGACGGUUUACGCUGUCACUUAUAGAUGGGCCCGCGGCGCAUUAGCUAGUUGGUGAGGUAACGGCUCACCAAGGCAACGAUGCGUAGCCGACCUGAGAGGGUGAUCGGCCACACUGGGACUGAGACACGGCCCAGACUCCUACGGGAGGCAGCAGUAGGGAAUCUUCCGCAAUGGACGAAAGUCUGACGGAGCAACGCCGCGUGAGUGAUGAAGGUUUUCGGAUCGUAAAACUCUGUUGUUAGGGAAGAACAAGUACUAGAGUAACUGCUAGUACCUUGACGGUACCUAACCAGAAAGCCACGGCUAACUACGUGCCAGCAGCCGCAGUAA
This 512-nucleotide ribosomal RNA is filed under the name uncultured bacterium. RNAcentral describes it as "partial 16S ribosomal RNA". It matches the Rfam family "Bacterial small subunit ribosomal RNA", at positions 28 to 523 of the family's 1533-position model. The record is from RNAcentral.